UUUCUCAACUAGUAGGGAGAUACCUUGAUCAUGAAGGAGGUUUUCCCAGGGUGAGGCUCAUCCAUUGCACUGCGGGUGUGGUGACCCCUGCGAUUUCCCCAAAUGUGAGAAACUCGACUGCAUAAUUUGUGGUAGUGCAAAAUAAGUGGCUAUUGAUUUUUA
This is a small nuclear RNA of Hemicordylus capensis (graceful crag lizard), 162 nucleotides long. RefSeq annotates it as U1 spliceosomal RNA. The record is from RefSeq and is a predicted model, not a curated record. Lineage: Eukaryota; Metazoa; Chordata; Lepidosauria; Squamata; Cordylidae. The transcript has a single exon.